CUUGCUAAGUUUGAUGGCGACCGGCGCACGGGUGAGUAACACGUAUCCAACCUGCCGAUGACUCGGGGGUAGCCUUUCGAAAGAAAGAUUAAUACCCGAUGGCAUAGUUCUUCCGCAUGGUAGAACUAUUAAAGAAUUUCGGUCAUCGAUGGGGAUGCGUUCCAUUAGGUUGUUGGCGGGGUAACGGCCCACCAAGCCUUCGAUGGAUAGGGGUUCUGAGAGGAAGGUCCCCCACAUUGGAACUGAGACACGGUCCAAACUCCUACGGGAGGCAGCAUG
This 279-nucleotide ribosomal RNA is filed under the name uncultured bacterium. RNAcentral's name for it is "partial 16S ribosomal RNA". It matches the Rfam family "Bacterial small subunit ribosomal RNA", at positions 76 to 353 of the family's 1533-position model. The record is from RNAcentral.